GGGUUGUGAGGUUAAGCGACUAAGCGUACACGGUGGAUGCCCUGGCAGUCAGAGGCGAUGAAGGGCGUGCUAAUCUGCGAUAAGCGCCGGUAAGGUGAUAUGAACCGUUAUAACCGGCGAUACCCGAAUGGGGAAACCCAGUGUGACUCGUCACACUAUCAUUAACUGAAUCCAUAGGUUAAUGAGGCGAACCGGGGGAACUGAAACAUCUAAGUACCCCGAGGAAAAGAAAUCAACCGAGAUUCCCCCAGUAGCGGCGAGCGAACGGGGAGGAGCCCAGAGCCUGAAUCAGCAUGUGUGUUAGUGGAAGCGUCUGGAAAGGCGCGCGAUACAGGGUGACAGCCCCGUACACAAAAGCGCAUGUGCUGUGAGCUCGAUGAGUAGGGCGGGACACGUGGUAUCCUGUCUGAAUAUGGGGGGACCAUCCUCCAAGGCUAAAUACUCCUGACUGACCGAUAGUGAACCAGUACCGUGAGGGAAAGGCGAAAAGAACCCCGGCGAGGGGAGUGAAAAAGAACCUGAAACCGUGUACGUACAAGCAGUGGGAGCCCCACCACCAAAGCAUUUGCUGUACCGUGUUGACGGAGCGAAGCGACGUCAAACCGAUAAAACAGCAGUGUAAAGUGAGCCGCAGGGCGCUUUGCGCGACAGCGCAAAGGCAGGCGGUUUCGCGUAGCGAAAGCGAAUGCUUUGGGGUGGGGUGACUGCGUACCUUUUGUAUAAUGGGUCAGCGACUUAUAUUCUGUAGCAAGGUUAACCGAAUAGGGGAGCCGGAGGGAAACCGAGUCUUAAUUGGGCGUUAAGUUGCAGGGUAUAGACCCGAAACCCGGUGAUCUAGCCAUGGGCAGGUUGAAGGUUGGGUAACACUAACUGGAGGACCGAACCGACUAAUGUUGAAAAAUUAGCGGAUGACCUGUGGCUGGGGGUGAAAGGCCAAUCAAACCGGGAGAUAGCUGGUUCUCCCCGAAAGCUAUUUAGGUAGCGCCUCGUGAAUUCAUCUCCGGGGGUAGAGCACUGUUUCGGCUAGGGGGCCAUCCCGGCUUACCAACCCGAUGCAAACUGCGAAUACCGGAGAAUGUUAUCACGGGAGACACACGGCGGGUGCUAACGUCCGUCGUGAAGAGGGAAACAACCCAGACCGCCAGCUAAGGUCCCAAAGUCAUGGUUAAGUGGGAAACGAUGUGGGAAGGCCCAGACAGCCAGGAUGUUGGCUUAGAAGCAGCCAUCAUUUAAAGAAAGCGUAAUAGCUCACUGGUCGAGUCGGCCUGCGCGGAAGAUGUAACGGGGCUAAACCAUGCACCGAAGCUGCGGCAGCGACACUGUGUGUUGUUGGGUAGGGGAGCGUUCUGUAAGCCUGUGAAGGUGUGUCGUGAGGCAUGCUGGAGGUAUCAGAAGUGCGAAUGCUGACAUAAGUAACGAUAAAGCGGGUGAAAAGCCCGCUCGCCGGAAGACCAAGGGUUCCUGUCCAACGUUAAUCGGGGCAGGGUGAGUCGACCCCUAAGGCGAGGCCGAAAGGCGUAGUCGAUGGGAAACGGGUUAAUAUUCCCGUACUUGGUGUUACUGCGAAGGGGGGACGGAGAAGGCUAUGUUGGCCGGGCGACGGUUGUCCCGGUUUAAGCGUGUAGGUGUGUGUUCCAGGUAAAUCCGGUUCACUUUAACACUGAGGCGUGACGACGAGGCACUACGGUGCUGAAGCAACAAAUGCCCUGCUUCCAGGAAAAGCCUCUAAGCAUCAGGUAACAUCAAAUCGUACCCCAAACCGACACAGGUGGUCAGGUAGAGAAUACCAAGGCGCUUGAGAGAACUCGGGUGAAGGAACUAGGCAAAAUGGUGCCGUAACUUCGGGAGAAGGCACGCUGACACGUAGGUGAAGUGAUUUACUCAUGGAGCUGAAGUCAGUCGAAGAUACCAGCUGGCUGCAACUGUUUAUUAAAAACACAGCACUGUGCAAACACGAAAGUGGACGUAUACGGUGUGACGCCUGCCCGGUGCCGGAAGGUUAAUUGAUGGGGUCAGCGCAAGCGAAGCUCCUGAUCGAAGCCCCGGUAAACGGCGGCCGUAACUAUAACGGUCCUAAGGUAGCGAAAUUCCUUGUCGGGUAAGUUCCGACCUGCACGAAUGGCGUAAUGAUGGCCAGGCUGUCUCCACCCGAGACUCAGUGAAAUUGAACUCGCUGUGAAGAUGCAGUGUACCCGCGGCAAGACGGAAAGACCCCGUGAACCUUUACUAUAGCUUGACACUGAACAUUGAGCCUUGAUGUGUAGGAUAGGUGGGAGGCUUUGAAGUGUGGACGCCAGUCUGCAUGGAGCCGACCUUGAAAUACCACCCUUUAAUGUUUGAUGUUCUAACGUGGACCCGUUACCCGGGUUGCGGACAGUGUCUGGUGGGUAGUUUGACUGGGGCGGUCUCCUCCUAAAGAGUAACGGAGGAGCACGAAGGUUGGCUAAUCCUGGUCGGACAUCAGGAGGUUAGUGCAAUGGCAUAAGCCAGCUUGACUGCGAGCGUGACGGCGCGAGCAGGUGCGAAAGCAGGUCAUAGUGAUCCGGUGGUUCUGAAUGGAAGGGCCAUCGCUCAACGGAUAAAAGGUACUCCGGGGAUAACAGGCUGAUACCGCCCAAGAGUUCAUAUCGACGGCGGUGUUUGGCACCUCGAUGUCGGCUCAUCACAUCCUGGGGCUGAAGUAGGUCCCAAGGGUAUGGCUGUUCGCCAUUUAAAGUGGUACGCGAGCUGGGUUUAGAACGUCGUGAGACAGUUCGGUCCCUAUCUGCCGUGGGCGCUGGAGAACUGAGGGGGGCUGCUCCUAGUACGAGAGGACCGGAGUGGACGCAUCACUGGUGUUCGGGUUGUCAUGCCAAUGGCACUGCCCGGUAGCUAAAUGCGGAAGAGAUAAGUGCUGAAAGCAUCUAAGCACGAAACUUGCCCCGAGAUGAGUUCUCCCUGAGACUUAGAGUCUCCUGAAGGAACGUUGAAGACGACGACGUUGAUAGGCCGGGUGUGUAAGCGCAGCGAUGCGUUGAGCUAACCGGUACUAAUGAACCGUGAGGCUUAACCUUACAACGCCGAAG
Molecule: ribosomal RNA, 3065 nt
Filed under: Salmonella enterica subsp. enterica serovar Nitra
Lineage: Bacteria; Pseudomonadati; Pseudomonadota; Gammaproteobacteria; Enterobacterales; Enterobacteriaceae
Description: bacterial LSU rRNA
Rfam family: Bacterial large subunit ribosomal RNA
Source: RNAcentral